Sorghum bicolor (sorghum) is the source of this 2552-nucleotide long non-coding RNA. RefSeq lists it as uncharacterized. The transcript has 3 exons. The record is from RefSeq and is a predicted model, not a curated record. NCBI's taxonomy places the organism in Eukaryota, Viridiplantae, Streptophyta, Magnoliopsida, Poales, Poaceae.
UCCCCCCGCGCCGACAUGUGGGCCCACAUAGAUGUGCGAAUAGCUCCCAGGAACCUCCCCGUCCUGCAUCCUCUCUCAGGGUUUGGCCGCCGCCAUGGAACCGCCAGCCCCACCUCGGCAGCCAUGAUCCACGACUAGAGCGUGCGCGAGCGCAGACACAGGCCACAACCGAGCAUGGAGCAACGCCGCCCUCUCCAUUAGCGCCACCUGGCCACGCGCCCAUGCCCCAAUCCUGCCAGGACGCAUCACAGACUCGCCGCUUGUUACCAUUCGCCUCAGAGAUCCAGCACAGCGUGCGGUUCCUCUCUGAUUUCUUCCUGGAGGCACAUUAGAAGGUGAGAUCUCUGCUUCUGACAUUAAUCACUGGAGCACUCUCUCGGUUUCAUCCGUCAAAGACGAGGACCAAGACGAAGACCCAACAGGGUUUGCAGGGUACCAAUUCUGCUAAACUGUUACUACGUCUUGGCUUCUGGCAUAAGUGGAUGAUGGUUGACUUCAUGAUACUUUGCCUUUGAAUUAGCAGAUGCUGCUAUCUGUUAAGAGCUUCUAGGUGAAAUUACAAAUUGCCUUGAGAGUUCUUUCUCAAUAGGGUGUAGCCAUAAAUUGAAAAACAUACCUAAAUUAUUUGUUUUGUCAAGAUGACCCUGUUCAGUAGAGUUGAGUUUUUGUCUCACAAGCUGGCCAUGUUUUGUGUACAUUGAUCACGAUUCCUAGAGCUUUCAUGGAUGUUUUCUAGCAUUGCAGCCUCAAUUAUUUCAGAUUUUCAGAUUCAGAUGCAGUUUUGACAUAUGCUUUUUUUUUGCGAAAAUGUUUUGAUAUAUGCUUGAAUGAAUGAAAUCUGGCAAAAGGCAUACACUUUUCUUGUUUUGUUAGUUGUAUAGAUAAAAUCAAUGGGUUAUUUGUGAACAAAGAAAAGUGCAUAUUUAUGAAUGAUAAUAUAUUUAUGAAAAGUACAUGGCUAUGCGUUGAACACUUGAAUUAGCUAAUCCCUCCCUAUUGUUUAAUUCAAGUAAUUUUCUCCCAUUUCCAGUAAACUGCACUUUUUUCAUUCUUGUUUAGAACAGUUGAGAUAGUUCUGUAAAUUAACCUUCCCAAACAACUCUACUAUUAUGGUGAUUAAAUUAAAUUUAUUACUUUACAGCUUUACAUGGAUGUUAUAUUCUCUACUAAUACUAAGUUUAUGGUGAUUAAACUUUAUAGUAGCAAAGUUUUUUAGAAUUUUCAAUCCCUUUGAAUUUCAUAUUGCAUUGGCCAUCAACUCAGUUAAUUUCUUUUUUUUUUCACUGCAUCUCUUGUAAAUUUACUUAUUUUGAGAAGACCAGCAAUGUGUGCUUACCUGUUUCUGAAUCCACAAUGCAGUAGCAGACAAGUUUGAUGAGGUCCAGUAAUUGGACUUCAGCUGGGCACUGCUUGUGCAUUUAAAAUUAGAUUUUUGUUUAUUGAAAAAACAUGAACAACCAUUUGUCAGCAGAUUCUGCUCUGCUUUCGUAACAAAGGUAACUCAGAUCUGUUUUUUUCAUGGCUGAUAGCUUUGUAUGAUAGAUGGAAUGAAAUAUGGUAUCUCAAUUCCUUACAUGAUCUACUAUGCUUGAACUGCUAGAACUUGAAGGCCAAAUAUGCUAUAAAUUAAAUAUGGUUUUUUCUUCUCAUGUCCCAUUAUUUGAGUUCCAAUAAAAGACACUUCUGGCUGCUACAAUUAAGCUUCUACGUAAGCAGAACUAAAUUUCAGUAUUCAGACAUGGCAUUGUUCUUCCAUCCAGAGUAAAUUAAAUUCAGUCCGCAUUCAACAUUGCUGGCAUCAAUUGGUCUGCAAGCUGAUCAUCAUGUUUGGAUUUCUUAUGGUCAUUUCUUGUUCUUUAAAAUGUAUGCUUCUAAUAAAUGGGCAUAUGCUCACAUGUGAGAGUUUCAGAUCCAGCAUUUUAGGAAUUUUAGUCACUAAUCUAUGGCGAGCUUAUGGCAUUAGAUGAUCUAACUUGAUCUUUUGUUAGACUGACCUUGUUGAUAAUUUUAUUUAGCACAGAUCUAUGCAUGGGAUGCCAUCCGCAAGCACCGUCACCUCCCGUCCCUGUCUGGUUGUCUGUCUGGCGCUUGUGGUGGAGGCCGAGACUGCAACUGCGCAAUGGAGGACGAUGGUAUCCCCAUGGUGGACCUGCUGUCACUGUGCGACCACCACGACCCUUAUGGCCUUCGAGCUUAGGUGAAUUCAUGAUCGGUCUGGUCAGGAUUUCGCUACUGUUGCUGCUCGAGUAAACGGACUACGUUCGGACUAUGAUGACGGAACCUGGCCAUUGUGCCGCCGCUACACCCAAUUUGAUAUGUACAAGGUUAUUGCUUAGCCACAGGCCACAGCCUCACAAGGUGUUUUUUUUUUGUCGAAUCACUCUUGGCAUUCCUGAACAAGGAAUUGUUUGUUUUUUCUGCAUGUUUUUGUCUAGAUGAUAAACAUGUGCAAGUUGGUUGUACACGCUGCAUACAUAACAAAGAAAGUAAGCUUUGCUAUCCAGAUGUCUAGGAAAUUAGAUUAAUAAUGCAAGUGUGAAAAAAAUUGACAA